GACGAACGCUGGCGGCGUGCUUAACACAUGCAAGUCGAACGGUAAGGCCCUUCGGGGUACACGAGUGGCGAACGGGUGAGUAACACGUGGGCGAUCUGCCCUGCACUUCGGGAUAAGCCUGGGAAACUGGGUCUAAUACCGGAUAGGACCCUGGGAUGCAUGUCCUGGGGUGGAAAGCUUUUGCGGUGUGGGAUGGGCCCGCGGCCUAUCAGCUUGUUGGUGGGGUGAUGGCCUACCAAGGCGACGACGGGUAGCCGGCCUGAGAGGGUGACCUGCCACGCUGGGACGGAGAUACGGCCCAGACUCCUACGGGAGGCAGCAGUGGGGAAUAUUGCACAAUGGGCGCAAGCCUGAUGCAGCGACGCCGCGUGAGGGAUGACGGCCUUCGGGUUGUAAACCUCUUUCAGCACCGACGAAGCGCAAGUGACGGUAGGUGCAGAAGAAGGACCGGCCAACUACGUGCCAGCAGCCGCCGUAA
Molecule: ribosomal RNA, 478 nt
Filed under: uncultured bacterium
Lineage: Bacteria
Description: partial 16S ribosomal RNA
Rfam family: Bacterial small subunit ribosomal RNA
Source: RNAcentral